UCUCCGAAAUAGCUUUAGGGCUAGCCUCAAGUGAUGAUUAUUGGAGGUAGAGCACUGUUUGGACGAGGGGCCCCUCUCGGGUUACCGAAUUCAGACAAACUCCGAAUGCCAAUUAAUUUAACUUGGGAGUCAGAACAUGGGUGAUAAGGUCCGUGUUCGAAAGGGAAACAGCCCAGACCACCAGCUAAGGUCCCAAAAUAUAUGUUAAGUGGAAAAGGAUGUGGCGUUGCCCAGACAACUAGGAUGUUGGCUUAGAAGCAGCCAUCAUUUAAAGAGUGCGUAAUAGCUCACUAGUCGAGUGACACUGCGCCGAAAAUGUACCGGGGCUAAACAUAUUACCGAAGCUGUGGAUUGUCCUUUGGACAAUGGUAGGAGAGCGUUCUAAGGGCGUUGAAGCAUGAUCGUAAGGACAUGUGGAGCGCUUAGAAGUGAGAAUGCCGGUGUGAGUAGCGAAAGACGGGUGAGAAUCCCGUCCACCGAUUGACUAAGGUUUCCAGAGGAAGGCUCGUCCGCUCUGGGUUAGUCGGGUCCUAAGCUGAGGCCGACAGGCGUAGGCGAUGGAUAACAGGUUGAUAUUCCUGUACCACCUAUAAUCGUUUUAAUCGAUGGGGGGACGCAGUAGGAUAGGCGAAGCGUGCGAUUGGAUUGCACGUCUAAGCAGUAAGGCUGAGUAUUAGGCAAAUCCGGUACUCGUUAAGGCUGAGCUGUGAUGGGGAGAAGACAUUGAGUCUUCGAGUCGUUGAUUUCACACUGCCGAGAAAAGCCUCUAGAUAGAAAAUAGGUGCCCGUACCGCAAACCGACACAGGUAGUCAAGAUGAGAAUUCUAAGGUGAGCGAGCGAACUCUCGUUAAGGAACUCGGCAAAAUGACCCCGUAACUUCGGGAGAAGGGGUGCUCUUUAGGGUUAACGCCCAGAAGAGCCGCAGUGAAUAGGCCCAAGCGACUGUUUAUCAAAAACACAGGUCUCUGCUAAACCGUAAGGUGAUGUAUAGGGGCUGACGCCUGCCCGGUGCUGGAAGGUUAAGAGGAGUGGUUAGCUUCUGCGAAGCUACGAAUCGAAGCCCCAGUAAACGGCGGCCGUAACUAUAACGGUCCUAAGGUAGCGAAAUUCCUUGUCGGGUAAGUUCCGACCCGCACGAAAGGCGUAACGAUUUGGGCACUGUCUCAACGAGAGACUCGGUGAAAUCAUAGUACCUGUGAAGAUGCAGGUUACCCGCGACAGGACGGAAAGACCCCGUGGAGCUUUACUGUAGCCUGAUAUUGAAAUUCGGCACAGCUUGUACAGGAUAGGUAGGAGCCUUUGAAACGUGAGCGCUAGCUUACGUGGAGGCGCUGGUGGGAUACUACCCUAGCUGUGUUGGCUUUCUAACCCGCACCACUUAUCGUGGUGGGAGACAGUGUCAGGCGGGCAGUUUGACUGGGGCGGUCGCCUCCUAAAAGGUAACGGAGGCGCUCAAAGGUUCCCUCAGAAUGGUUGGAAAUCAUUCAUAGAGUGUAAAGGCAUAAGGGAGCUUGACUGCGAGACCUACAAGUCGAGCAGGGUCGAAAGACGGACUUAGUGAUCCGGUGGUUCCGCAUGGAAGGGCCAUCGCUCAACGGAUAAAAGCUACCCCGGGGAUAACAGGCUUAUCUCCCCCAAGAGUUCACAUCGACGGGGAGGUUUGGCACCUCGAUGUCGGCUCAUCGCAUCCUGGGGCUGUAGUCGGUCCCAAGGGUUGGGCUGUUCGCCCAUUAAAGCGGUACGCGAGCUGGGUUCAGAACGUCGUGAGACAGUUCGGUCCCUAUCCGUCGUGGGCGUAGGAAAUUUGAGAGGAGCUGUCCUUAGUACGAGAGGACCGGGAUGGACAUACCUCUGGUGUACCAGUUGUCGUGCCAACGGCAUAGCUGGGUAGCUAUGUGUGGACGGGAUAAGUGCUGAAAGCAUCUAAGCAUGAAGCCCCCCUCAAGAUGAGAUUUCCCAACUUCGGUUAUAAGAUCCCUCAAAGAUGAUGAGGUUAAUAGGUUCGAGGUGGAAGCAUGGUGACAUGUGGAGCUGACGAAUACUAAUCGAUCGAAGACUUAAUCAA
This 2066-nucleotide ribosomal RNA is filed under the name Staphylococcus aureus W39902. Its description in RNAcentral is "bacterial LSU rRNA". It matches the Rfam family "Bacterial large subunit ribosomal RNA", at positions 856 to 2925 of the family's 2925-position model. The record is from RNAcentral. Lineage: Bacteria; Bacillati; Bacillota; Bacilli; Caryophanales; Staphylococcaceae. RNAcentral also lists the same sequence under 2 other names.